Molecule: ribosomal RNA, 432 nt
Filed under: uncultured bacterium
Lineage: Bacteria
Description: partial 16S ribosomal RNA
Rfam family: Bacterial small subunit ribosomal RNA
Source: RNAcentral
ACGAACGCUGGCGGCAUGCCUAACACAUGCAAGUCGAACGAGACCUUCGGGUCUAGUGGCGCACGGGUGCGUAACGCGUGGGAACCUGCCCUUAGGUUCGGAAUAACUCCCCGAAAGGGGUGCUAAUACCGGAUAAUGUCUUCGGACCAAAGAUUUAUCGCCUUUGGAUGGGCCCGCGUUGGAUUAGCUAGUUGGUAGGGUACAAGCCUACCAAGGCGACGAUCCAUAGCUGGUCUGAGAGGAUGAUCAGCCACACUGGGACUGAGACACGGCCCAGACUCCUACGGGAGGCAGCAGUGGAGAAUAUUGGAAAAUGGGCGAAAGCCUGAUCCAGCAAUGCCGCGUGAGUGAUGAAGGCCUUAGGGUUGUAAAGCUCUUUUACCCGGGAUGAUAAUGACAGUACCGGGAGAAUAAGCUCCGGCUAACUCCGUG